RNAcentral lists this ribosomal RNA (497 nucleotides) under uncultured bacterium. RNAcentral describes it as "partial 16S ribosomal RNA". It matches the Rfam family "Bacterial small subunit ribosomal RNA", at positions 28 to 507 of the family's 1533-position model. The record is from RNAcentral.
GACGAACGCUGGCGGCGUGCCUAAUACAUGCAAGUUGAGCGCUGAAGGUUGGUACUUGUCCCAACUGGCUGAGCAGCGAACGGGUGAGUAACGCGUGGGGAAUCUGCCUUUGAGCGGGGGACAACAUUUGGAAACGAAUGCUAAUACCGCAUAAAAACUUUAAACACAAGUUUUAAGUUUGAAAGAUGCAAUUGCAUCACUCAAAGAUGAUCCCGCGUUGUAUUAGCUAGUUGGUGAGGUAAAGGCUCACCAAGGCGAUGAUACAUAGCCGACCUGAGAGGGUGAUCGGCCAAAUUGGGACGGAGACACGGCCCAAACUCCUACGGGAGGCAGCAGUAGGGAAUCUUCGGCAAUGGACGAAAGUCUGACCGAGCAACGCCGCGUGAGUGAAGAAGGGUGUCGGAUCGUAAAACUCUGUUGGUAGAGAAGAACGUUGGUGAGAGUGGAAAGCUCAUAAAGUGACGGUAACUACCCAGAAAGGGACGGCUAACUACGUG